GACGAACGCUGGCGGCGUGCUUAACACAUGCAAGUCGAGCGGUAAGGCCCUUUCGGGGGUACGACGAGCGGCGAACGGGUGAGUAACACGUGGGUGACCUCGCCCUCCAGCUCUGGGAGUAAGCCUGGGAAACCGGGGUACUAAUACUGGAUAUGACUCCAUGACGCAUGUUGGUGGGGUGGGAAAGCCUUGUGCGGCUGAGGAUGGGCCCGCGGCCUAUCAGCUUGUUGGUGGGGUGAGGCCUACCAAGG
This 251-nucleotide ribosomal RNA is filed under the name uncultured bacterium. Its description in RNAcentral is "partial 16S ribosomal RNA". It matches the Rfam family "Bacterial small subunit ribosomal RNA", at positions 28 to 273 of the family's 1533-position model. The record is from RNAcentral.